AUAUAUCAACCUCCUCAGGUUUUUACUUGUCGAGUGUUUGGAUGUGGGGGUAUCUUUUGCUGGUCUCUUUUGAGGUCGGCUCCCCUGAAAUGCAUUAGCGGAACAAUUUGUUGACCGUUCAUUGGUGUGAUAACUAUCUACGCUAUUGACGUGAAGCAGGUUCAGCUUCUAACAGUCCAUUGACUUGGACAAAUUUUCAUUA
This 202-nucleotide unclassified non-coding RNA is filed under the name Cortinarius pseudofervidus. Its description in RNAcentral is "partial internal transcribed spacer 2". The record is from RNAcentral. Lineage: Eukaryota; Fungi; Basidiomycota; Agaricomycetes; Agaricales; Cortinariaceae.